This 229-nucleotide long non-coding RNA is filed under the name Gossypium raimondii (Peruvian cotton). Its description in RNAcentral is "long non-coding RNA (GRAI_LNC001411)". Lineage: Eukaryota; Viridiplantae; Streptophyta; Magnoliopsida; Malvales; Malvaceae. The record is from RNAcentral.
UUUAAAGCGUGGCGUUGGGAUGGAUAAAUAAUGGUAGGAAGGGAAACUUGAUGAUCGGAGUAAUAAGAGAUGAAAAUAAAACUCGCAAGACUUUUCACUUCUUUUUUUUUACUCUUUUUUUUUUGCUCACUUCUUUUUUUCUUUUUUUUCGAAUUUUUUUUUGAAUUUUGAUUUUUUUUGUGAUACUCCAAUACAAUAGUAACGUAAAUACAAGGAAGGAAAAAAAUUA